This 208-nucleotide long non-coding RNA is filed under the name Mustela putorius furo (domestic ferret). Its description in RNAcentral is "lncRNA (ENSMPUG00000025342.1)". The record is from RNAcentral. Lineage: Eukaryota; Metazoa; Chordata; Mammalia; Carnivora; Mustelidae.
UAGGCUUUCUACUCAGCUGAGUUGGAAUGAUCUGUUGCCAUUGGGCUUAUCAUUCCAAGCUUGUGAAAUGGCUAGACACUACCAGCCAUUUAUUUGAAUUUUGGGGAAGAAGACUAUUAAAGCCAAAGACAAAAGGCUGAAGGGAGCCUCUAUCUGGGAUAUGCUGUUAUUUUGGAAGAGGACAGAAGCAAGAACCCAACCAAACCAU